Saccostrea cuccullata (small rock oyster) is the source of this 253-nucleotide long non-coding RNA. RefSeq lists it as uncharacterized. NCBI's taxonomy places the organism in Eukaryota, Metazoa, Mollusca, Bivalvia, Ostreida, Ostreidae. The record is from RefSeq and is a predicted model, not a curated record. The transcript is spliced from 2 exons.
ACAGGUUCUAACAAAAUUAUUUUUAUUUUAGAUUUUUACUAAGAGGCGACACGUACCAUCGGUGAUCUUUCAUUUCUGUAUGGUCAAUUUCAGUACUGUGGACAAUUGUUGGAAAUGCCCUGGAAUCAAUUAAUUCUUCUUCUUCUGGUGGGUACCAUGUUUCUAUGGCAAGGAGGAAAAAUGGAGUCUCAAACAGUUCAUGACAUUGCCAAAAGAAGUGUUGGAAAUAGUGCUGCCACAAAGCCUAAGAUAG